Molecule: ribosomal RNA, 468 nt
Filed under: uncultured bacterium
Lineage: Bacteria
Description: partial 16S ribosomal RNA
Rfam family: Bacterial small subunit ribosomal RNA
Source: RNAcentral
GACGAACGCUGGCGGCGUGCUUAACACAUGCAAGUCGAACGGAAAGGCCCUGCUUUUGUGGGGUGCUCGAGUGGCGAACGGGUGAGUAACACGUGAGUAACCUGCCCUUGACUUUGGGAUAACUUCAGGAAACUGGGGCUAAUACCGGAUAGGAGCUCCUGCUGCAUGGUGGGGGUUGGAAAGUUUCGGCGGUUGGGGAUGGACUCGCGGCUUAUCAGCUUGUUGGUGGGGUAGUGGCUUACCAAGGCUUUGACGGGUAGCCGGCCUGCGAGGGUGACCGGCCACAUUGGGACUGAGAUACGGCCCGGACUCCUACGGGAGGCAGCAGUGGGGAAUAUUGCACAAUGGGCGGAAGCCUGAUGCAGCAACGCCGCGUGCGGGAUGACGGCCUUCGGGUUGUAAACCGCUUUCGCCUGUGACGAAGCGUGAGUGACGGUAAUGGGUAAAGAAGCACCGGCUAACUACGUG